This 23-nucleotide transfer RNA is filed under the name Pamphorichthys scalpridens. RNAcentral's name for it is "partial tRNA-Glu". The record is from RNAcentral. Lineage: Eukaryota; Metazoa; Chordata; Actinopteri; Cyprinodontiformes; Poeciliidae.
UAAGGGUUCUUGUAGUUGAAUCA